UACGAAAGGGGCUAGCGUUGUUCGGAAUUACUGGGCGUAAAGCGCACGUAGGCGGCUUGGUAAGUUGGGGGUGAAAUCCCGGGGCUCAACCCCGGAACUGCCUUCAAAACUACUUGGCUAGAGGAUGUGAGAGGAUAGUGGAAUUCCGAGUGUAGAGGUGAAAUUCGUAGAUAUUCGGAAGAACACCAGUGGCGAAGGCGACUGUCUGGCACAUUUCUGACGCUGAGGUGCGAAAGCGUGGGGAGCAAACAGG
Molecule: ribosomal RNA, 253 nt
Filed under: uncultured bacterium
Lineage: Bacteria
Description: partial 16S ribosomal RNA
Rfam family: Bacterial small subunit ribosomal RNA
Source: RNAcentral